This 445-nucleotide ribosomal RNA is filed under the name Parahaemophilus parainfluenzae. Its description in RNAcentral is "Haemophilus parainfluenzae bacterial SSU rRNA". It matches the Rfam family "Bacterial small subunit ribosomal RNA", at positions 1 to 442 of the family's 1533-position model. Lineage: Bacteria; Pseudomonadati; Pseudomonadota; Gammaproteobacteria; Pasteurellales; Pasteurellaceae. The record is from RNAcentral.
GAAUUGAAGAGUUUGAUCAUGGCUCAGAUUGAACGCUGGCGGCAGGCUUAACACAUGCAAGUCGAACGGUAACAUAAAGAAGCUUGCUUCUUUGAUGACGAGUGGCGGACGGGUGAGUAAUGCUUGGGAAUCUAGCUUAUGGAGGGGGAUAACUACGGGAAACUGUAGCUAAUACCGCGUAAUAUCGAAAGAUUAAAGUGUGGGACCUUCGGGCCACAUGCCAUAGGAUGAGCCCAAGUGGGAUUAGGUAGUUGGUGAGGUAAAGGCUCACCAAGCCGACGAUCUCUAGCUGGUCUGAGAGGAUGACCAGCCACACUGGGACUGAGACACGGCCCAGACUCCUACGGGAGGCAGCAGUGGGGAAUAUUGCGCAAUGGGGGCAACCCUGACGCAGCCAUGCCGCGUGAAUGAAGAAGGCCUUCGGGUUGUAAAGUUCUUUCGGUAG